UUGAACGCUGGCGGCAUGCCUUACACAUGCAAGUCGAACGGUAGAGGGGCAACCCUUGAGAGUGGCGAACGGGUGAGUAAUGCAUCGGAACGUGCCCAGUCGUGGGGGAUAACGCAGCGAAAGCUGUGCUAAUACCGCAUGUGAUCUGUGGAUGAAAGCGGGGGACCGCAAGGCCUUGUGCGAUUGGAGCGGCCGAUGUCAGAUUAGCUAGUUGGUAGGGUAAAAGCCUACCAAGGCGACGAUCUGUAGCUG
This 252-nucleotide ribosomal RNA is filed under the name uncultured bacterium. Its description in RNAcentral is "partial 16S ribosomal RNA". It matches the Rfam family "Bacterial small subunit ribosomal RNA", at positions 30 to 289 of the family's 1533-position model. The record is from RNAcentral.